GGCGUGAAAGCUCCGGGCUUAACCCGGAGAGUUCGUUCAAUACUGUCGAACUAGAGGACAUCAGAGGAGCAUGGAAUUUCCGGUGUAGCGGUAAAAUGCGCAGAUAUCGGAAGGAACACCAGUGNCGAAGCCGGUGCUCUGGGGUGGGCCUGACGCUGAGAGACGAAAGCUGGGGGAGCGAACAGGAUUAGAGACCCUGGUAGUCCUAGCCCUAAACGAUGGAUGCUAGGUGUGGGNCCGAGAAGGCUCUGUGCCGCAGUUAACGCGCUAAGCAUCCCGCCCGGGGAUUACGGCCGCAAGGCUAAAACUCAAACGAAUUGACGGGGCCCCGCACAAGCAGCGGAGCGUGUGGUUUAAUUCGAUGCUACACGAAGAACCUUACCUGGGUUUGACAUGUACGUGGUAGAGAAGCGAAAGCGGAUCGACCCUUCGGGGAGCGUACACAGGUGCUGCAUGGCUGUCGUCAGCUCGUGCCGUGAGGUGUCGGGUUAAGUCCCGUAACGAGCGCAACCCUUGCCCUUAGUUACAAGUGUCUAAGGGGACUGCCGGCGGUAAGCCGGAGGAAGGUGGGGAUGACGUCAAGUCAGCAUGGCCCUUAUAUCCAGGGCUACACACACGCUACAAUGGUCAGUACAAAGGGCAGCGAAGCCGCGAGGUGAAGCGAAUCCCAACAAAGCUGAUCUAAGUUCGGAUUGCAGGCUGCAACUCGCCUGCAUGAAGUUGGAGUUGCUAGUAACCGCGCGUCAGCUAUAGUGCGGUGAAUACGUUCCACGGGGCUUGUACACACCGCCCGUCACGUCAUGGGAGUCGGUAACGCCUGAAGCUGGUAGUCUGGCCCGCAAGGGGGACGCCAUCAAAGGCGGGGCUGGCAACUGGGACGAAGUC
This 885-nucleotide ribosomal RNA is filed under the name uncultured organism. RNAcentral's name for it is "bacterial SSU rRNA". It matches the Rfam family "Bacterial small subunit ribosomal RNA", at positions 591 to 1487 of the family's 1533-position model. The record is from RNAcentral.